Molecule: long non-coding RNA, 279 nt
Filed under: Phoenix dactylifera (date palm)
Lineage: Eukaryota; Viridiplantae; Streptophyta; Magnoliopsida; Arecales; Arecaceae
Description: long non-coding RNA (PDAC_LNC003657)
Source: RNAcentral
GGGGAAACGGAGUGGCCGGGGGGGAAAAAAACUAAGGUGGCGGCGGGCGAAGGCGGAGCGGCGGAGAUGGGAAGCUUGGCGCGGCGGGGUUGGCGGUUCGCUGUGGCACGGCCGGAGGAGGGCGGUGGUCGGUGCUCUUCGCGGCAGAGGAGGCUGAGAGGGAGGGCGGUGGCGGAAGGUGGCGGCGGAGGAUGUAGUGGAGCGGAAGCAGCGGCGGGUAGACGACGCGCGGCGGGCGGUGGAGCGGCGAAGGUGGCAGAGAUAGCGGCAUGGAGCGGG